CUCCGCGGCCAAUCACGUACUUAUCACUGAGAUUCUCUGUAAGCCGCAUCAUCUCAUCGUGAGAUUGGGGAGCCAUGCCCAGGUUUAGGAUCACGAAUCUCGGUGGACCUGCUCACAACACCAUUCAAUCGAUAUUCAUAGAUGCUCUAGUACCGUUAGUGGCUAAAGAAAUUUGAUAUUUCGUGAAAUUCUGAGGAAACAAAAAAAAGUAUAUUUCACGAAGGACUAAAAUUUGUCACUGGAAACGAUACGAACCUGGAGGCUGCGACGCAAUGUUCGUGCUCUUCAAAGGAACAAGCCCACAAGAGGCACUGAUGUUGGUGCAAAGCAGGGGGUUUCCUGCGUAGCUGCCAACAAACAAGCAACCACUCAAAAGCUAUUUGGCAAGUGUGAGGACGAGCAGCUGGAAGAGGGCAGAAGGUAGCUUCAUCACCAUUACUCGCGGGUCUGUUUCAGAAGUGGAGGGAAUAUGAAUAUUUCACCUACUCGCCGGAAACCUUGAGAAGAGCUCAUCUGGAGGAAUGUUUCCCGAGAGAUGAUUGUAGGACAAAUUCCUGCACAAUUUCAUUGAGAUGUGAGUUAACAGAAGAGUUCAUAAAAUCAGUUUAGAAUCUUGAUAGAGGCAGUUCAAAGCUACGCUCAUUGCUGAACCUGGACACUUAAAAUCGUUCCCUGAAACUCUUCCACCCAUUCACUCCACACAAGCGUACACUUUCAAAUUACCCAAUGAAGAUUUCGUAGCUUACAAGUGUUUCAAACCGAAACAUUCUUUUAGUGGUACUGGUAUGGAGCCUGAGAGAUUAUUGUAGCUCAAGUCCCUGAAGAAUAUAAGAAUCCAUAGAACAAUGUUUAGUAUACACACAGGAGUGUGAUGGGACGAACUGUCAGCGUUGGAAGUGGAGGAGGGUGACGUUGAGAAGAAUACUCACAGGUGUAACAGCUCUAAGAGUUGUCCAAGUUCGAGGGGAAUGGGCCCUUGAAUGUGGUUAUGCGACAAGUCACUGCAACCAAAACAAAAAUUGGCAUUUAUUAUCGGGAGAAUUCACAUCAAACGAAGAGAAGUCACAGAUGAUUAGGCCCAAUCUGCAUUAUGAACCUCCUUUCGGUCUAACUCGCACGUAGGAUAAGUGACUCACAGAAAGUUGAGGCUCUUCAAGUUGCCGAACGCCAUUGGAAUAGACCCAUUCAAGUUGUUUUCAUGUAGAUCUCUGUAUUAGCAAACUCAGCGUGUGAGUGUUAAGAAGCCAAUAAAUUUCUAUCUGUUUGAAAGUA
Physcomitrium patens is the source of this 1272-nucleotide non-coding RNA. The record is from RefSeq and is a predicted model, not a curated record. Lineage: Eukaryota; Viridiplantae; Streptophyta; Bryopsida; Funariales; Funariaceae.